GCAGUAGCCGCGGGAAUACAGAGGGUGCGAGCGUUAAUCGGAUUUACUGGGCGUAAAGCGUGCGUAGGCGGCUAAUUGAGUCGGAUGUGAAAUCCCCGAGCUUAACUUGGGAAUUGCAUUCGAUACUGGUUAGCUAGAGUGUGGGAGAGGAUCGUAGAAUUCCAGGUGUAGCGGUGAAAUGCGUAGAGAUCUGGAGGAAUACCGAUGGCGAAGGCAGCCAUCUGGCCUAACACUGACGCUGAGGUACGAAAGCAUGGGGAGCAAACAGGAUUAGAUACCCCAGUAGUCCCUGUCUCUUAUAC
This 302-nucleotide ribosomal RNA is filed under the name uncultured bacterium. RNAcentral's name for it is "partial 16S ribosomal RNA". It matches the Rfam family "Bacterial small subunit ribosomal RNA", at positions 508 to 807 of the family's 1533-position model. The record is from RNAcentral.